RNAcentral lists this transfer RNA (90 nucleotides) under Puccinia sorghi. It matches the Rfam family "tRNA". Rfam says of the family: Transfer RNA (tRNA) molecules are approximately 80 nucleotides in length. The record is from Rfam by way of RNAcentral. Lineage: Eukaryota; Fungi; Basidiomycota; Pucciniomycetes; Pucciniales; Pucciniaceae.
CCCCCGAUAGCUCAGUUGGAAGAGCGCGAGACUGUAAUGGAUAACGAACUGAUCAUCUUGAGGUCGCUGGUUCGAUCCCGGCUCGGGGGA